UAUUCUCCAUGAUAGGAACAUGGACAUCAUGUUUGUUGCAAAAUAAAGUGACCUUUUCAAGGAAUUGACUCCAUCCACUGGACCUUAAUUCUUGCAUUCUAUCCUUUGCCACUCUAAUAAGUGAGACUGCAUUUAUAAUAUCUUGCUCCCUUCUUUGCAAGCACUCUGAUAAUUCAUUAGUGUAUCCCAAAAUGAUAAACAUCAAGUGUGCACUAAAAAUAUAAUCAAAUGACUCCAAUACUCCAACCAUAGUAUGUAUUUUUGGCCAAUCACUCUUUUGUGAAGUAUCAUUACCAAGAGAGAUGAGUACAUCACGUAUUGUGGGAUACAUACCAAUAAUGUUGACAACAGUUUUGUAGUGAGAUCCCCAACGAGUCUCGCCUGGCCUAGGCAAUCCCAUCUCUUGAUUUAAUCCACUUCCAGUUUGAAGUUCACCACAAUCAAUUGCUUUCAUGACAUUAUCAAGUCUUGCAUCUCGAAUCAUGCCAUGACGUUUACAAGAAACACCAACAAUAUUCAGCAAAAGAGACACUUGGUCAAAAAACCAAACACAGUCACUAUUCCCCUUGGCAACAGCAACAAGAACUAAUUGAAGUUGAUGAGCAAAACAAUGAAUAUAAUAAGCAGAUGGUGACUCUUGCAUGAUCAAUGUUUUGAGCCCUUUAACCUCUCCCUUCAUGUUGCUAGCACCAUCGUAACCUUGCCCACGAAUUUGAGUCAUAGUCAAACCAUUCAUUACAAGUAAAUCCUCAAUUGCUUUCUUAAGUGACAAAGAAGUAGUAUUAUCUACAUGAACAACUCCAAGAAAAUGCUCACAUGGUCUACCUAAUUUAUCAACAAAACGCAAGCAAAGAGCAAGUUGUUCUCUAUGUGAUAUGUCACUAGACUCAUCAGCUAGAAUUGCAUAGGGCUCAUCACCAAUUCCUUCAACAAUUUUCUUCCUAGUUUCUAGGGCACAACACUGAAUAAUUUGUUUCUGUAUCUCAGGACUGGUUAAAGUGCAAUUACCUGGAGCAUUUUUCAAGACAUGCUUAUUCACUUCUUCACUAUUUUCUGCAAGAAAUUUCAGAAGUUCAAGAAAAUUCCCUCUGUUGCUAGAUUCUUCACUUUCAUCAUGUCCACGAAAUGCCAACCCUUGAUGCAAAAGAAACUUCAAACAUCUAAGUGAAUAAGUCAAUCUGAUCUUAUAGAGAUAAAGAUCAUCAUCACUCCAUUUGUCAAUACGAUUAUCAAUUGCAACAUUGGGAUUAACAAAGCCAUUGUAUCUCUCUUGAGCUGCAGCGUGUGCCUUAGAACCUUCAUGUUUAAGAAGUGCUUUGUCUCCUAUAUUCCAAUUUCUCCAACCACUUGUAGUAAAUGUAUCUGCCCCACUGCCUUUCUUAAACAAGUAGCAUACAAGACAAAACACAGCAUCCUUUUUGACACUAUAUUCAAGCCAAUGAUAAUUAUAAAACCAUACCACAUUAAAGUGACGAUCUCUAUCUCCGAUCUUCCUUUUUGGAAAAUCAUGCCCAUAACAUUUGAAUGGACCUUUAAGUAUAUAUGUUCUUCGAAUUGAAUCUUGAUCAUUAACAUGAUAACUUUGAAUGGGUUGCCUUUCACCUGGAUCAAGUUGGAGACGAUUGAUGUCAUAGCCUGAAGGUGGUGCUGGUGUGAAUAACACUGAUCGGAUAGACGGUUGUUCUUCAAUUUGUCGCUCUUGAGGUUGCUCUUCUGUCUCAGCUGCAGCUGGACAUGGGGAAGGAGAUGGCGUAGCAACACUAGCAAGAGCCUUCUUUGCUGCAUGUUUCUGGAAAAGAGAAGCGAUAUCUCCUGUCCUCUUCAUAAUUUAUCUCAUUAACUGUAUAGGAAUACCAACUUAUUAAGGAUAAUUUAUUGUUGUAAUAAAUUGCGAUUGUGUAUGAACUGAAGUUACUGAACUAAUUUAUAUUCAACAAAAAAUAUUGGGUAACAAUAUAUGUAGAACAAUCAAUGAACCCAUGAUAAAUAAUCCAACAUCUAAGUGAAAUAUAGAAAAAACAAUUUAAGUAUGUCCCUAUAGACUGCAAAGUACAACAAAAUAAAUAAAACAAUCACAUUGUGCUUAUGCCUUACCUCCUAGGACUGCACAAAGCGUUGUUCGUCUACCCAGCAAGCAACACUGAAUGGGGUACAAGUCUGCCUACAGGCUACAUCGUCAAGCACCAACAAAAACUUGAGUUGAUUAGCACUAGGCCACCAGCACGUUCUCCAAUAAUGCAAUUUUUAAAUCUUAAUCUAGAGUUGAUUAGCAGUUUAGCACCAGCACACUCACCGUCAAGUUUAAAUGGCUGCCGACCUGCCGUCCGUGCCUCUGGCUCUUGG
RNAcentral lists this long non-coding RNA (2343 nucleotides) under Zea mays. Its description in RNAcentral is "long non-coding RNA (ZMAY_LNC003423)". Lineage: Eukaryota; Viridiplantae; Streptophyta; Magnoliopsida; Poales; Poaceae. The record is from RNAcentral.